GAUGAACGCUGGCGGCGUGCUUAACACAUGCAAGUCGAACGAAGCACCUUGAUUUGAUUCUUCGGAUGAAGAUUUUGGUGACUGAGUGGCGGACGGGUGAGUAACGCGUGGGUAACCUGCCUCAUACAGGGGGAUAACAGUUAGAAAUGACUGCUAAUACCGGAUAACAACACUAGACGCAUGUCUAGGGUUUGAAAGAUGGUUCUGCUAUCACUCUUGGAUGGACCUGCGGUGCAUUAGCUAGUUGGUAAGGUAACGGCUUACCAAGGCAAUGAUGCAUAGCCGAGUUGAGAGACUGAUCGGCCACAAUGGAACUGAGACACGGUCCAU
RNAcentral lists this ribosomal RNA (330 nucleotides) under uncultured bacterium. Its description in RNAcentral is "bacterial SSU rRNA". It matches the Rfam family "Bacterial small subunit ribosomal RNA", at positions 28 to 334 of the family's 1533-position model. The record is from RNAcentral.